RNAcentral lists this ribosomal RNA (253 nucleotides) under uncultured bacterium. RNAcentral's name for it is "partial 16S ribosomal RNA". It matches the Rfam family "Bacterial small subunit ribosomal RNA", at positions 524 to 776 of the family's 1533-position model. The record is from RNAcentral.
UACGAAGGGGGCUAGCGUUGCUCGGAAUUACUGGGCGUAAAGGGCGCGUAGGCGGACAGUUUAGUCAGAGGUGAAAGCCCAGGGCUCAACCUUGGAAUUGCCUUUGAUACUGACUGUCUUGAGUUCGGGAGAGGUGAGUGGAAUGCCGAGUGUAGAGGUGAAAUUCGUAGAUAUUCGGCGGAACACCAGUGGCGAAGUCGACUCACUGGCCCGAUACUGACGCUGAGGCGCGAAAGCGUGGGGAGCAAACAGG